UACGUAGGGCGCAAGCGUUGUCCGGAAUUAUUGGGCGUAAAGAGCUUGUAGGCGGCCUGUCGCGUCUGCUGUGAAAUCCCGGGGCUUAACCCCGGGCGUGCAGUGGAUACGGGCUGGCUGGAGGCAGGCAGGGGAGAACGGAAUUCCCGGUGUAGCGGUGAAAUGCGCAGAUAUCGGGAGGAACACCGGUGGCGAAGGCGGUUCUCUGGGCCUGUACUGACGCUGAGGAGCGAAAGCGUGGGGAGCGAACAGG
RNAcentral lists this ribosomal RNA (253 nucleotides) under uncultured bacterium. Its description in RNAcentral is "partial 16S ribosomal RNA". It matches the Rfam family "Bacterial small subunit ribosomal RNA", at positions 524 to 776 of the family's 1533-position model. The record is from RNAcentral.